RNAcentral lists this transfer RNA (70 nucleotides) under Pseudomugil gertrudae (spotted blue-eye). RNAcentral's name for it is "tRNA-Asp". It matches the Rfam family "tRNA". From Rfam's summary of the family: Transfer RNA (tRNA) molecules are approximately 80 nucleotides in length. Their secondary structure includes four short double-helical elements and three loops (D, anti-codon, and T loops). Further hydrogen bonds mediate the characteristic L-shaped molecular structure. tRNAs have two regions of fundamental functional importance: the anti-codon, which is responsible for specific mRNA codon recognition, and the 3' end, to which the tRNAs corresponding amino acid is attached (by aminoacyl-tRNA synthetases). tRNAs cope with the degeneracy of the genetic code in two manners: having more than one tRNA (with a specific anti-codon) for a particular amino acid; and 'wobble' base-pairing, i.e. permitting non-standard base-pairing at the 3rd anti-codon position. The record is from RNAcentral. Lineage: Eukaryota; Metazoa; Chordata; Actinopteri; Atheriniformes; Pseudomugilidae.
UAGAUACUAGUAAAAUUUAUAACACUGCUUUGUCAAGGCAGAAUUGUGGGUUAAACCCCCGCGUGUCUUA